Molecule: long non-coding RNA, 807 nt
Organism: Caretta caretta (loggerhead turtle)
Lineage: Eukaryota; Metazoa; Chordata; Testudines; Cheloniidae
Source: RefSeq, a predicted model, not a curated record
CAAAGGCCAUCUCUCUGUCUGCUCCCCACCAUCACAGCAAAUAUCAGCAAAAGAUCUGAAGCUCACAGUUGUGGGGGUCUAGUUAAAGAUGACUACCAAAAACAGGUUCUGCAGUUGUACAGCCUAUGGUUUCUGGCUUCCUGUAUCCACAGACCCUCUGGUGAAGGCAAAUGAAGCACAUUCCCUUCCACAUGAAGGCCCAGACAUCUUUACAGACCUGCUCCCAUUGAAGUAAAUGAGACACCGAUCAGACAACAGGCCAUCAGCCUUGAUGGACCAUUAGGAAGAAACAAUAAGACUUUGAAGAUACUAAUUUCUCUCCUUCCUGAGAAGUGUCCUGGGAUGUGGCUGUGACACUACUAGGUCAGGUGGUCCUGUCACCUGGAAACAAACACCAUCAUGGACUUCUAAGUAAUUUCCCACUAAAUGUAGGGGGAGGUCAAGACCGGGAAACAAAAGAUUCCCACCUUAUGUAAAUCUUAUUUAAGGCUGGGGAGUAAGGCAAAUAGGACUCUUCUCCAUUGCUUUCCUGAUCAGGAAGAAAGACUGCUGAAAGUACCUGGAAGAACAAAGGAACUGGGUGGUGGGAAAGGCAAGGGCUGAGUCCAGACUAAGACAGGAGUCUAGUAUGUAAAAAGAAAUAACUGGAACUCUAAGCUACAGAAACUCUGCAACUUUCCUAAAACAAGGGUGAGAAAUUACUUCUUAAAACCUGUUUCUUUAAGAUCUUAAGCUUAGUAUGCGUGUUUUGCUUUAUUUGCUUGGUAAUCUCCUUGUUCUGUUUGCUAUCCCUUAUAAUCACUUAAA